AACGUAGGUCACAAGCGUUGUCCGGAAUUACUGGGUGUAAAGGGAGCGCAGGCGGGAAGACAAGUUGGAAGUGAAAUCCAUGGGCUCAACCCAUGAACUGCUUUCAAAACUGUUUUUCUUGAGUAGUGCAGAGGUAGGCGGAAUUCCCGGUGUAGCGGUGGAAUGCGUAGAUAUCGGGAGGAACACCAGUGGCGAAGGCGGCCUACUGGGCACCAACUGACGCUGAGGCUUGAAAGUGUGGGUAGCAAACAGG
This 253-nucleotide ribosomal RNA is filed under the name Faecalibacterium prausnitzii. Its description in RNAcentral is "partial 16S ribosomal RNA". It matches the Rfam family "Bacterial small subunit ribosomal RNA", at positions 524 to 776 of the family's 1533-position model. Lineage: Bacteria; Bacillati; Bacillota; Clostridia; Eubacteriales; Oscillospiraceae. The record is from RNAcentral.